This 411-nucleotide ribosomal RNA is filed under the name uncultured bacterium. Its description in RNAcentral is "bacterial SSU rRNA". It matches the Rfam family "Bacterial small subunit ribosomal RNA", at positions 958 to 1392 of the family's 1533-position model. The record is from RNAcentral.
AACGCGAAGAACCUUACCAACCCUUGACAUCCUAGGACAACUCCAGAGAUGGAGCCUUCCUUCGGGACCUAGUGACAGGUGCUGCAUGGCUGUCGUCAGCUCGUGUCGUGAGAUGUUCGGUUAAGUCCGGCAACGAGCGCAACCCACAUCCUUAGUUGCCAGCAGUUCGGCUGGGCACUCUAGGGAAACUGCCCGUGAUAAGCGGGAGGAAGGUGUGGAUGACGUCAAGUCCUCAUGGCCCUUACGGGUUGGGCUACACACGUGCUACAAUGGCAGUGACAAUGGGUUAAUCCCCAAAAACUGUCUCAGUUCGGAUUGGGGUCUGCAACUCGACCCCAUGAAGUCGGAAUCGCUAGUAAUCGCGUAACAGCAUGACGCGGUGAAUACGUUCCCAGGGUCUUGUACACACCG